GAGCGAAAGCCUAAAACUCAAAAGACUUGACGGUGUCCUAAUCUACCUAGAGGAGCCUGUUCCAUAAUCGAUAACCCGCGAUAAACCCAACCACCCUUUGAAAUUUUCAGCCUAUAUACCGCCGUCGACAGCCCACCUUAUAAAAGAACAAGAGUAGGCCAAAUAGGACUCACCCUAAAAAGUCAGGUCAAGGUGUAGCUAAUAGGGUGGAGACAAUGGGCUACAUUUUCUAUAAUAGAACACACGAACUAGUUUAUUAAACAAAACUACGAAGGCGGAUUUAGCAGUAAGCU
This 293-nucleotide ribosomal RNA is filed under the name Calyptommatus leiolepis. RNAcentral describes it as "partial 12S ribosomal RNA". It matches the Rfam family "Bacterial small subunit ribosomal RNA", at positions 884 to 1344 of the family's 1533-position model. The record is from RNAcentral. Lineage: Eukaryota; Metazoa; Chordata; Lepidosauria; Squamata; Gymnophthalmidae.